UUGAUGUUAUCUUCAAGCUCUAACAAUGUGAUCUUCUACUUGUUUCUUUAAUAAUAGGGACAAGGUUUUUAAUAGUGGUGACAAUGAAGGAAGAGUUUGAAGCUAAGGCACUCAAUGUUUUGCUUUUUGGUUAUAUGUAAAUACGAACAAUGACAAUGAAGUAUUACGUAAUACAUAUGCGGAGGAACUUAAGGCUAAGAGGCACUCAAUAUUUUGCUUUUUGGUUAUAUGUAUAUGCUGAGGAGGAACUUAAGGCUAAGGCACUCAAUAUUUUGCUUUUUGGUUAUAUGUAUAUGCGUACAAUAACAAUGAUGUAUUACCUAGUGUAUAUGUGGAGGAGCUUGAAGCGAAGGCACUCAAUAUCUUGCAUUUUGGUUGUAUGUAUAUGCGUACACUGAAAAUGAAGUAUUGCAUAGUAUAUAUGUAACUGCACGUUUAGUAAUGGAAGUGUUUAGUAUUUAGUUUAG
RNAcentral lists this long non-coding RNA (467 nucleotides) under Nicotiana benthamiana. RNAcentral's name for it is "long non-coding RNA (NBEN_LNC030642)". Lineage: Eukaryota; Viridiplantae; Streptophyta; Magnoliopsida; Solanales; Solanaceae. The record is from RNAcentral.